This 72-nucleotide transfer RNA is filed under the name Heterocephalus glaber (naked mole-rat). It matches the Rfam family "tRNA". Rfam says of the family: Transfer RNA (tRNA) molecules are approximately 80 nucleotides in length. Their secondary structure includes four short double-helical elements and three loops (D, anti-codon, and T loops). Further hydrogen bonds mediate the characteristic L-shaped molecular structure. tRNAs have two regions of fundamental functional importance: the anti-codon, which is responsible for specific mRNA codon recognition, and the 3' end, to which the tRNAs corresponding amino acid is attached (by aminoacyl-tRNA synthetases). tRNAs cope with the degeneracy of the genetic code in two manners: having more than one tRNA (with a specific anti-codon) for a particular amino acid; and 'wobble' base-pairing, i.e. permitting non-standard base-pairing at the 3rd anti-codon position. Lineage: Eukaryota; Metazoa; Chordata; Mammalia; Rodentia; Bathyergidae. The record is from Rfam by way of RNAcentral.
AGGGGUGUAGCUUAGUGGAAGAGCUCUUGCUUAGGAUGUGCAAGGCCCUGGAUUCAAUCCCCAGCACCUCAA